AUAUCAACAUCAGUUUCUCCCCAUAAUAAACUUGUUGAUCUGAACCCUCCAAUUAUCUCUCAGUUUUCUGAUCAAAACCCUAAUAGGCAAGAUCUAAACCUAGCUUUUCCUGCAGCUCCACAAGAGUACUAUCACGGUACUAUUCCUCAUUUUCUUGAAUAUACUAAGAUUGAGAACAGCAGUAACAUCAACUCUUCAUCUUCGAAUCCGGAUUCGGCCCUAGACUUGCUGAGGACUGGAAUAGCCUCAAAGGGAAUGAGUUCCAUUUUCCCCACAUCAAAUGUGGAAACUAAUGCACUUCUUGUAUCAGGUUUUCCAGUUCAAGAAUGCAAACCUGCAGCCAUUGGUUUUUCCUUUGAUGGAAGGCUUAUGUUUCAACGUCAUUCGGUAAACCUAGCUUUUCCUGCAGCUCCACAAGAGUACUAUCACGGUACUAUUCCUCAUUUUCUUGAAUACACUAAGAUUGAGAACAGCAGUAACAUCAACUCUUCAUCUUCGAAUCCGGAUUCGGCCCUAGACUUGCUGAGGACUGGAAUAGCCUCAAAGGGAAUGAGUUCCAUUUUCCCCACAUCAAAUGUGGAAACUAAUGCACUUCUUGUAUCAGGUUUUCCAGUUCAAGAAUGCAAACCUGCAGCCAUUGGUUUUUCCUUUGAUGGAAGGCUUAUGUUUCAACGUCAUUCGGGCACAGAUGAAGUCAAUAAUCAGAUCAACAAGGGACAU
RNAcentral lists this long non-coding RNA (720 nucleotides) under Olea europaea (common olive). RNAcentral's name for it is "long non-coding RNA (OEUR_LNC006010)". The record is from RNAcentral. Lineage: Eukaryota; Viridiplantae; Streptophyta; Magnoliopsida; Lamiales; Oleaceae.